AUUGAACGCUGGCGGCAUGCCUUACACAUGCCAGUCGAACGGUAACAGGUCUUCGGAUGCUGACGAGUGGCGAACGGGUGAGUAAUACAUCGGAACGUGCCCGAUCGUGGGGGAUAACGAGGCGAAAGCUUUGCUAAUCCCGCAUACGAUCUACGGACGAAAGCGGGGGAUCUUCGGACCUCGCGCGGACGGAUCGGCCGAUGGUCGAUUCGGUAGUUGGUGGGAUAAUGGCUUACCAAGCCGACGAUCUGUAGCUGGUCUGAGAGGAUGAUCGGCCACACUGGAACGGAGACACGGCCCAGACUCCUAAGGGAGGCAGCAGUGGGGAAUUGUAGACAAUGGGCGAAAGCAUGAUCCAGCCAUGCCGCGUGCAGGAUGAAGGCCUUCGGGUUGUAAACUGCUUUUGUACGGAACGAAAAGCCUCUUUCUAAGAAAGAGGGGUAAUGACGGUACCGUAAGAAUAAGCACCGGCUAACUACGUG
This 482-nucleotide ribosomal RNA is filed under the name uncultured bacterium. Its description in RNAcentral is "partial 16S ribosomal RNA". It matches the Rfam family "Bacterial small subunit ribosomal RNA", at positions 30 to 507 of the family's 1533-position model. The record is from RNAcentral.